Molecule: non-coding RNA, 115 nt
Organism: Pelobates cultripes (western spadefoot toad)
Lineage: Eukaryota; Metazoa; Chordata; Amphibia; Anura; Pelobatidae
Source: the annotation of a GenBank genome assembly
CUCACUAGCUCCCACACCCUCAGCCUCACUACCCCCCCCCACACCCUCAGCCUCACUAGUGAUGCUGAGGGUGGUGUGGGGGGUAGUGAGGCUGAGGGUGUGGGGGGGUAGUGAG